CCGGUAGCUCAGUUGGAUAGAGCAUCUGGCUACGAACCAGGAGGUCGGGGGUUCGAAUCCUCCCCGGU
RNAcentral lists this transfer RNA (68 nucleotides) under Alloalcanivorax venustensis. It matches the Rfam family "tRNA". From Rfam's summary of the family: Transfer RNA (tRNA) molecules are approximately 80 nucleotides in length. Their secondary structure includes four short double-helical elements and three loops (D, anti-codon, and T loops). The record is from RNAcentral. RNAcentral also lists the same sequence under 3 other names. Lineage: Bacteria; Pseudomonadati; Pseudomonadota; Gammaproteobacteria; Oceanospirillales; Alcanivoracaceae.